RNAcentral lists this transfer RNA (82 nucleotides) under Smittium simulii. It matches the Rfam family "tRNA". From Rfam's summary of the family: Transfer RNA (tRNA) molecules are approximately 80 nucleotides in length. Their secondary structure includes four short double-helical elements and three loops (D, anti-codon, and T loops). Further hydrogen bonds mediate the characteristic L-shaped molecular structure. tRNAs have two regions of fundamental functional importance: the anti-codon, which is responsible for specific mRNA codon recognition, and the 3' end, to which the tRNAs corresponding amino acid is attached (by aminoacyl-tRNA synthetases). tRNAs cope with the degeneracy of the genetic code in two manners: having more than one tRNA (with a specific anti-codon) for a particular amino acid; and 'wobble' base-pairing, i.e. permitting non-standard base-pairing at the 3rd anti-codon position. Lineage: Eukaryota; Fungi; Kickxellomycota; Harpellomycetes; Harpellales; Legeriomycetaceae. The record is from Rfam by way of RNAcentral.
GUCGGUUUGUCCGAGUGGUUAAGGAGACAGAUUAGAAAUCUGUUGGGCUCUGCCCGCACAGGUUCAAAUCCUGUAGCCGACG